AGAACGAACGCUGGCGGCAGGCCUAAUACAUGCAAGUCGAACGCACUCUUCGGAGUGAGUGGCAGACGGGUGAGUAACGCGUGGGAACCUUCCCAAUGGUACGGAAUAACUCCGGGAAACCGGUGCUAAUACCGUAUAAGCCCCUCGGGGGAAAGAUUUAUCGCCAUUGGAUGGGCCCGCGUCGGAUUAGCUAGUUGGUAAGGUAAUGGCUUACCAAGGCUACGAUCCGUAGCUGGUCUGAGAGGAUGAUCAGCCACACUGGGACUGAGACACGGCCCAGACUCCUACGGGAGGCAGCAGUAGGGAAUCUUGGACAAUGGGCGAAAGCCUGAUCCAGCCAUGCCGCGUGAGUGAAGAAGGCCUUAGGGUUGUAAAGCUCUUUUGGCGGGGACGAGUAAUGACGGUACCCGCAGAAUAAGCCCGGCUAACUUCGUGCCAGCAGUCGC
RNAcentral lists this ribosomal RNA (446 nucleotides) under uncultured bacterium. RNAcentral's name for it is "SSU rRNA". It matches the Rfam family "Bacterial small subunit ribosomal RNA", at positions 26 to 518 of the family's 1533-position model. The record is from RNAcentral.